RNAcentral lists this ribosomal RNA (428 nucleotides) under Gemmatimonadota bacterium. RNAcentral's name for it is "Gemmatimonadetes bacterium partial 16S ribosomal RNA". It matches the Rfam family "Bacterial small subunit ribosomal RNA", at positions 355 to 776 of the family's 1533-position model. Lineage: Bacteria; Pseudomonadati; Gemmatimonadota. The record is from RNAcentral.
UAGGGAAUCUUCGGCAAUGGACGAAAGUCUGACCGAGCAACGCCGCGUGAGUGAAGAAGGUUUUCGGAUCGUAAACUUUGUUGUUUGCGAAGAACAAGGACGUUUGUAACUGAACGUCCCCUUACGGUAUCUAACCAGAAAGCCCCGGCUAACUACGUGCCCGCCGCCGCGGUAAUACGUAGGUGGCAAGCGUUGUCCGGAUUUAUUGGGCGUAAAGCGAGCGCAGGCGGUUUCUUAAGUCUGAUGUGAAAGCCCCCGGCACAACCGGGGAGGGUGAUUGGAAACUGGGAGACUUGAGUGCAGAAGAGGAGAGUGGAAUUCCAUGUGUAGCGGUGAAAUGCGUAGAUAUAUGGAGGAACACCAGUGGCGAAGGCGGCUCGCUGGUCUGUAACUGACGCUGAGGCUCGAAAGCGUGGGGAGCAAACAGG